This 900-nucleotide ribosomal RNA is filed under the name uncultured Bacillota bacterium. RNAcentral's name for it is "bacterial SSU rRNA". It matches the Rfam family "Bacterial small subunit ribosomal RNA", at positions 84 to 998 of the family's 1533-position model. The record is from RNAcentral. Lineage: Bacteria; Bacillati; Bacillota.
CCUUCGGGUUAGUGGCGGACGGGUGAGUAACACGUGGGUUAACCUGCCUCGUAGUGGGGAAUAACUCGCCGAAAGGCGAGCUAAUACCGCAUACAACUCCCGGUGAGAAUCCGGGAAGUAAAAGCUCCGGCGCUACGAGAGGGGCCCGCGGCCGAUUAGCUAGUUGGUGGGGUAAUGGCCUACCAAGGCGACGAUCGGUAGCUGGUCUGAGAGGAUGGUCAGCCACACGGGGACUGAGAUACGGCCCCGACUCCUACGGGAGGCAGCAGCUAAGAAUCUUGCGCAAUGGGCGAUAGCCUGACGCAGCAAUUCCGCGUGGGGGACGAAGGCCCUAGGGUCGUAAACCCCUUUUGCGAGGGAAGAAGUUCUGACGGUACCUCGCGAAUAAGCCACGGCUAACUACGUGCCAGCAGCCGCGGUAAUACGUAGGUGGCGAGCGUUGUCCGGAUUUAUUGGGCGUAAAGAGCCCGCAGGCGGCUUGGUAAGUUUUGGGUGAAAUCUCCCGGCUCAACUGGGAGGGCGCCCGGAAAACUACCAGGCUUGAGGCAGGGAGAGGGAUGUGGAAUUCCCGGUGUAGUGGUGAAAUGCGUAGAUAUCGGGAGGAACACCAGUGGCGAAGGCGGCAUCCUGGCCCUGUCCUGACGCUCAGGGGCGAAAGCGUGGGGAGCAAACCGGAUUAGAUACCCGGGUAGUCCACGCCGUAAACGAUGAGUACUAGGUGUUAAGGGGGUAUCGACCCCCUCUGUGCCGAAGCCAACGCGAUAAGUACUCCGCCUGGGGACUACGGCCGCAAGGCUAAAACUCAAAGGAAUUGACGGGGGCCCGCACAAGCAGCGGAGCGUGUGGUUUAAUUCGAUGAUACGCGAAGAACCUCACCCAGGUUUGACAUGCACGUGGUUA